GCACCCCAUACCCCCAAGAUUGAAGCUCAAGAUAUUGCCCCUCAAUUUAUACUUAUUAACAAUCAUGGCGGAAAGGGAUGGAGUAGGAUUAAACAAGCUGCAAUUCACAACAAGAAUACCAAUAUCCUUAGGUUUGAUAUUGGUACUGGCAAAGAGAUUAUCCAGCGCACCAAACAUCACCUGCUCUGACUCUUCCCUUGCUGCUGCCAUUGAUGGCCUUGGUGGAAUGUAAUGCAUAGCUUCAGGGACAUAAGUCUCUUCGCCGAGGCCUGAUCUCUCCAGAAUCUUGCGCUGAAAUUCCAACGAGGAAUCAUCAAAAUCGCCAGUUAGCUUCGAAUGCUCCAUGAACCGAUGAAACCCGACCUUGAGAUUAGAUGGAGGCUUAUAGCAAGCGUAAUCAACGAGAUAAACUGAUCUGGGUCGAGUCAUAAUAUACACAGUACAUCCAAAGACAACAAAAACGGAGCAGACAAUGA
This 476-nucleotide unclassified non-coding RNA is filed under the name Hevea brasiliensis (rubber tree). The record is from RNAcentral. Lineage: Eukaryota; Viridiplantae; Streptophyta; Magnoliopsida; Malpighiales; Euphorbiaceae.